This 429-nucleotide ribosomal RNA is filed under the name Triticum aestivum (bread wheat). RNAcentral's name for it is "partial small subunit ribosomal RNA". The record is from RNAcentral. Lineage: Eukaryota; Viridiplantae; Streptophyta; Magnoliopsida; Poales; Poaceae.
AUGUGCUCGGCAGUUUAUCAUAGAUGUUUGACGGCAGACAAUCUGCAGCGUAGGGGAUGGCCUAAUAACCCUUGCUGCCCUCUAUGCCUCUCGGAGCCGGAAGAUUGGACACACCUAUUCGUGCAUUGCAGAUUCAUGCAACACGUAUGGCGGCUUUUCAAGCAGUGGUUGGGAGCCAACUUUAUCCUGCCCGACGAGAGCUUCACCACGACGGAGGAAUAGUGGCUACAAACGUGGCAGUAGAUCCCCAAGGCCAUCCGCCGCAACUUUGACACCCUGGCCAUUCUCAUGCAUUGGAGGAUUUGGAAGGAGAGAAAUGCCAGGGUUUUUGACCAGCUAGUCAGCAGUGCAGAUAGAGUGCUAGACAUGGCCAGGGAGGGAAUUAGUACUUGGAGGGCGGUUGGUUGCAUCUACGAUGUGACCCCUUGA